This 404-nucleotide ribosomal RNA is filed under the name uncultured bacterium. RNAcentral describes it as "partial 16S ribosomal RNA". It matches the Rfam family "Bacterial small subunit ribosomal RNA", at positions 28 to 526 of the family's 1533-position model. The record is from RNAcentral.
GAUGAACGCUGACAGAAUGCUUAACACAUGCAAGUCAACUGUGGCGGACGGGUGAGUAACGCGUAAAGAACUUGCCUCACAGAUAGGGACAACAUUUGGAAACGAAUGCUAAUACCUGAUACUGUGAGAGAGCUUUGCGUCCCAUUAGCUAGUUGGAGAGGUAACGGCUAACCAAGGCGAUGAUGGGUAGCAGGCCUGAGCGGGUGAUCGGCCACAAGGGGACGGAGACACGGCCCUUACUCCUACUGGGGGAAGCAGUGGGGAAUAGUGGACAAUGGACCAAAGUCUGAUCCAGCAAUUCGGUGUGCACGAUGAGGUUUUCGGAAUGUAAAGUGCUUUCAGUUGGGAAGCAGUACCAACAGAAGAAGUGACGGCUAAAUACGUGCCAGCAGCCGCGGUAAUUC